UGGUUCUGUGUGUCCUGAAGGCAGAGCUAGGCACAAGCAGCAGGCAGGUCAUAGGAGGUGUCUGUUUUGCUGGGGAGGGUGAGGCUCCAGGGCAGACAUGACAUUGUCCUGCUGUGGGAAGAGCACAGAGAGGUCAGGCUGGGCAUUGGCAGGUGCAGAUUGCUAUCCUAACACAGAAGCAAGAAAAGUGCUGGACUCUGAACUGCUUUGCCAAGGAUAGGGAAUGGGGUGCUAUGCUCUGGCUGGGAUGAACUGGCAGGAAGGGUGUGCAUGGACUUGUGUCCUUCACCUUUCCCUUGACCUGAGCAGCACCACUGCUGCUCUGAGUGCUCCCAGCAUAGUGACAGGAGCACAGUUGUGAGCCUGUGCAACUCUACAGAUUUCUGUCUGUACCAAAGCCAAGUCCAGUGCUUCCAGGGGUGCAGGUUAGCACCUCUUUCAGGCAAUGUCCCUUGCUGUCCCAUUCAUAAGGGAUAAAAACUCCCAUCCCAACUCUGGAGUGCAAAACAUGCCAGUAAGGAAUAGUCCUUAUACUCAAGGGAGUACUUGGUAUUUAUAUAGCAUUGCCUUUUUUCUUCCCCUGUCUGAGCCUACUGGAGAUAGAUAGAUAGAUAGAUAGAUAGAUAGAUAGAUAGAUAGAUAGAUAGAUAGAUAGAUAGAUAGAUAGAUAGAUAGAUAGAUAGUAGAACUUCAGCCUCCUUACUGUCCAUCAAAACAGAAUUUGAACCUACUUUGAAGUAUCCACUAGCUUGCCGCAGCCUUGAGCCAGCAUUUCAGCAACAAUGUGGAUGGACAAUUCAAUGUGUAUAAAAUAAACCCAGCUGUUUUGUCCUGCCUGCAAGAACUUUGGAUCUGCAAAACUCCUGUCAAGAAUGUUGCAUUAUGGAGAAGACAAUUAUCUCUCUCAGGAUGAGAAGGACUUGGCUGCUUUUACUCUGGGAAAGGAAUAUUGCUGUAUAAAUAGCCUUCCAUCACCAACUCUUCUUCUUUCUUGCAUAUUGACUGAGACACUGCUCAGCUUGCCACAGAGAGGUAAGCAGUAGACAAGUCAACAUCUAUGAAACGGUGAAUGGCAUGGAUAGGGAUCAGUGGGGAUCAGUACAAAAGCUGGGGUCCUCAAAGAAAGCUAAGAGGUGUCAGGCUCAAAAAGAAUGCCCACUGCACAGAGUACCACUCCUUUCCAGCUGUUAUAAUCCUUGCUUUGGGAUGUUGUGAAUGCCAGGAAGUUCAUAUGGCUGUCCAAGUCAAGGGAGGGAGACUGGACAGGUUUGUGGAAUAGAGAAGCUAGUAAGGAUAAUGAUCUCAUCUUUGGCUAUGAAAGUCCCUGAGAUGUAACUAGACACAGGGAAACUCUUUGGGGAAGUAUUGCUACAUGCUUGCUAAGAGAUAUUUUUUAUACUCUUCUGUAGCUAAUUGUUUUUGAUCAUGUUGAAGGUGGGAUGCUUGGAUAGAUAGACCUAUGUCCAUCCCUAUGCUCUUACCCAGGCAAUGUGAACUGAGAAGUGACAGAGGUUUGGUAAUGAGCCAGUGACCAGAGCCCAGUGAGUUGUGUGCCAGAGAUCUGUGCUGCCCAGGUAUUCUAAGUCCCUUCUAUGGAGUCCAUCCGGGGGGGCUUGCACUUGAUCUAUUUGGCACCUCCUAGAGCAUGGAGAUCAUUGAUUUCCUUGUGCUCAUGAAGAAUGAUGUGUGCAGCUGGCUUGGCACGGUCCCAGAACCACCUGGGUGACUGUCUGAUCAGAAACAUGAUGGCAGGGAAAGGAGAGAGGUGACAAAAGGGUCAGGAAGAGCCUACAAUUCUGCUAACCAAAGUAACUCUCAGGCACAGGCUUACAGCAGCACUCACAGCAGCCAACCCACAGCAGCACACCCAGUCCCUCCCUUAGACUGCAGCAGUAGUUGCUGGGUUUUGUGUGUCUGUGUCUGGCUUGAAGCUGCUAAAAAUAAGAAACAUGGCAAAAUUGUGGUUAUAAAAGUGAAUAAUGGAUAGCAAAUGGAGGCCAUCUCUCUAUGGCACGUUGUCCAUGGACAGAGGAAUGCUGUACAGUUAACCAUGUUGGAAGAGCCACUGCUGGGACUGACACUUGGUCCAAUCCUGCACAACGUUUGGAUGGAUAUAUGAGACUUGGCUGGCUUCAGAGGUAUGUUUUCUUGGAUAUGGGGGAUGAUGUCAUGUGAUGUGUAAGCACACAGUGGUGCAGCUGGGAAGUGUCCUGUGUAACAAACUCCUCACUCAUCAGGCCCAUCCAUGUCAGCUACUGAAGCCUGGGGACAUGUCUCUUGGGACAUUCUGAGCAACAUGUGGGGAGAAGUAAGAUUGGAGUGGAUAUUUGGAAGAGGAGACGAGAAGGGCAGUUUGAGGCAAGACACAACCAUCUGGAACUCAACCAGGCUGUGGUGGACUGAGCAAGAAGAAAAGAAUGUGAAUGUGAGAACACAUACUAUCUGUAGGACCUGCCCAUGACAGAAGAAGGGCUCUAGCACUCAUUCCCUGGCCCCACCAGCAGAAAAGAUUGACCAGACAUAAGAAAGAAUCAAGUCUCUCUGCUGUGUGAGGCACAGGGGGCAUGUCUGUAUAGCCCAGUGUGAACAGACAGGCAUUUUCAAUGCCUUGUACUUCAGCCCUGGAACACACAUGGCUGUGUUAGUUCAGGGCUGUGACCACACUGACAAAUCUGUUUAUGGAGGAGAUGUGCAGGGUUAUUUCUCUUCAGUGGUGUCUCAGGCCCCAUUGCCCACAGCAGCUGACUAUGAUGGGGCAGUGUGCUGUAACUACCUAUCCUCAGAGGAUCUGCUCCAUUGGCCAAAAUCCUCUGGCUCCUUUUUCUCUCAUGCUACUUACCACAGAAUGGGGCUGAAGGACUGGUCAUUAAAAAAACUUUCACUUCCUGGGGCAGCCUGCUCAUGUUGACACCUGCCUGCUCCAGCAGGCCUGCAGGGGGAAAUAAAGUCAGUGCAGGGAAAGCCAUGAAUGACAGAACAGAAAUAUAAGUAAGAAAUAUAACAGAAAUAUAAUAUGUAUCAGUCACCUCCUUUUCACCCUGCCUGACUCCCCUGUCUUGGAGAACAGGUCCCUUUCUUAGACCAGUGCAAAUCAGAGCAAGUACACGUUUGUGGUGUCUGACAGGUUAACAUUCCCUCAGAAAACCUCCACUGGCUACCCCAGGUAACCAUCCCCAGAGAACCUCUUGGUGGCUUUCUUUUCAUUCCUCUGCCAACAAAGUGUGCUGUCAGAGGCAUUUGUGCAAAAUGAGCAAGACCAAGGACUACCAAGUCAGGGAACUUGGUGCAGAUGUAAAUGACAGUGCAAACACAAGGGAAAUGGAAUUCCUUGGUCAAAUGAGGAAACCAUCAUAACUUGUGGCUUGCAUCAUUGAAUAGCUGGCAAAAUGGUUUGGUGAGAGAGCCAUUUUGCUGAUCUGAGAGAACCUAUACUAAAAAAGGCCUCUCUUUAUGUUCCUCUGGUACCAUACUGCAAAUAGCAGCAGAGGACACUUGGAUGCCACAGCCCAGCUUCAGAAGCCUAAAAGAGGCACCUGCUACCUUCUACCAGUCCAAAGAGUUCAUCUUUGGGGUGACCAUGGCAGAAAUUUAUGAAAAGGAGGUGACUCAGCAACACUGAGAGGUGUAGAAGGCUGGGACUUCAGGCUUGAACUAAAAUUUCCAGUUGCUUCGCUAAACAAGACAUUUUUUUUUGAGCUGAUUGCCUACUGAUUCUGGAUGGCAAUUCUGGAAACUCUCUUUCAACACAUAUCUAGGAAAUGUUUAACGAUCAGAAAUGUUCAAGAUUUUGCUGUUCUACCAUGGUUAAUAUAUGAGUUUUCAUAUUGUAUCUACAGAAGCCUGAAAAUGAAACAGCUUGUCACUCUUCCCAAACAGAUCCAAAGCAAAUCCUGCUCAGAGAAAUCUGGACUACAUCCUGUGCUCUGCACUGACACCAUCAGGAAAGUAUUGCCAUCUGCUCUGGGCAGGUCUCAUGCUGAUACUGUACCUAUUCUGGGACAGGAGGACAGGAAGGGUUUUGCACAGUCCAGGCAAUGACCAUUUAGAAAAUCUUGAUGACUUGCACAGGGGAAGCCCACGACGGGACAGGGGUGGCUCAGGGCACUGAUGUAGAGAUGCACAGCCCGCAUGUGAUCGCAGAUCAGGAAGUUGUAGCCUGCAGGGAAAACAUCAACCAGAGAAAAGCAGCCAUGAGUUUUCCUGUCAGCUUCAGGCUUUUUGCUCAUUCCCAAGGAGCUGGGAGUGAAGGAACACUGUUACUGCAGUGAUGACCUUCCCAUUAAUAACAUUUUGCAGGGCAUUUCUGUGGCUACAAGCCCAGAUCCCACUACAAGAAAAGUUCUACAGGAAGUUAGAAGAGUAACUAUGGGAAAUGAGGUAACAUAGAUGUCUCAGGAAAGCUGACCCUCAAUGCAGCUGACUCAUACAGAACAUAUUUGAAUGUUAAAGAGUUCACACUGUUUAGUGUGGAAAGUCCUCUUCUCUAGAAGAAAAGGACAGUAAUUGUACAAACUGUCUCUCUAAGUAGACACAACUUCCAGCAUGAAAGCAAAAAGCAGCUUUUUUUAGUGCUACCUAGGAGCCUUUCUAGCAAAGUGUUAUCUCUACUGAAGCUAGGGUUUUGUGUCACAGAGAAGCAUCACCAAAAUCACAUCUCCUGACAGUGGUGCUGCCAAGACACUUGAUCUGUAUGUGAUUUUAAUGUCACCUGCUUCUUGUACUGCUAAGAAGAGGUGUGGGCUGUGAAUAUGUUUGUCUCGCUUUGCUGACUGCCCUGGCUGUAGCAAGAGCUGCUUGCCAAACAGCAUUUUCAGAGUCUGCUAAAUGGCCAUGAAAGCUCUCUGCUUGGCCAGAGGGUGUUCUUACCUGCAGAGAUGAACCGGGGGCAUCCUGGCUGAUCUUUGCCUCCAUUGACAAAGUAAUCGAUGUGGCCGACAGGAAUCCGGAUCCCAAAAUCUGAAAGGAGGUGAAAUGCCACUUCAUUCUCAGCCUUGGCUCUUCUGUAGGCUUUACCCUACAUGUUGAUGACAGGUCCCAAUAACUAACUUAGUAGUACUGAAGCCAGCCCUAAUGCUGGAGACAUAAAGGCCAGAUAUCCUGCUUCUACAUGCGCAGGUUUGAUGCAUGGAGCAGAAAAUGCUUCAGCCCCUGCCAUCAGAAUGACUGGAAACUGUCUUAACCACCAGCUCAGCAACUCUAGGUCUUGAUUCUAUGUAAAGGAGAACUAAACUGACCCCAGCCUUAAUGUGGGAUUGUGAAGGAUAAUUGAGAGUUGUGUUGGUAGAGGUUUUCAUGGUCUUCAGGCAAAAGGUGUCACUCAAAGGCACCCAAAGGCACAUUCUUUAGCACAUGUUCUGCCUAUGCAGAUCCUCAGUGCUUUAGAGAAGUUUCUCUGUUGUUGUGUCAGCUUUUGAUUUGACUCUGUUACUUUCCAACAGCACCCUGGGUGGCACCUGUCUUACAUCAGGCAGGAAAAACAAAGUGAGGCUAGACCUAUAAAUUCUCUUCAGGCAGUAAAAGUCAUGCUGAGGUGGUUCUGCAUAAACUCACUCUGCUGUAGCAAACUCUGCCUGUCUGUUGUUUAAAGUGCUCCGGGGUACGAAUUCAUCAUCAAAACCUUUCUUAACAAGAAUCUUCCUCAAGAGUGAACUUGAACUCAUAGCAGUUUGGCAAAAAGAGGGACAAUGGUCUACAGACUCUUUAGCAAUAAUGCUGUCAGCAGGAACAGGAGGCCAGGCUGAGGAAGAGAGAAGCCAGCUUACAGUCAGCAUCAGUGUGAAUUGCUUCCACGAAGAGGGCAUCCCCAGGAUCCAGGCGUUCCUCGGGGCUGGCUCUGGUGUACUUGGGGCCUGCAGGAUCCAGGGCUGGAAUAAAAUCAAACACCUCAACAAGUACUCUUCAGCCCCUCUCUUUCUUAUUUCUGGACCAGUUAUUUUAUCUAAAACUUGAAAAAUAGUGCUAGGCAGAUAUAAUAAAUUAUUCCCAGUUCUCAGCGAUUAAGCUCCAGAAUAGUUUCUGCUAGAAGCAACCUCCACUACAGCUUCCUUGUAUUGUUCCCACUGUUCCACACCCUUUGGCAGUGUUUUAUCUAAAAGUUUUAUGCUGUAAAGCCAUGACUGAGCCUUAAAUAGCACUAACAGAGUGGGUGAAUAGUGGCUCUUGGAGUUUGGUGAAAGAGAAUCAAACUUUUCAAUGCCUUCCCAAAUUGUGCUGCCGUGUGUAUUAUGACUACAGCCUGAGAAAUGUCACUGCAGAUCAGCAGUGAAUUCAGCACCCAGGCAUUAACCAACUCAGGAAUUACACAAGUUUCAUACUACCUAACAAUUUUAAACCAAAGAGGCUUCUGAACCCUUUCCCCACAAAUAAAACUGAGUCUUUGGCAAUCAUCUACAUUUUUGCCUAAAACUUCCUCCUAGAGUAAUUUCUGUGGACUCAAAGGAACACAGAAAAGUAUCCUUGGCAAUACCAAGAAGCAGAUUUUGUUUGUUUGGUUUCUUUUUCCUGAGGUUUAUCCUGUUCUCAUUUUAUAGAAAAGUAACCUCACAAGACUUUUUGUCAUUCCCCAGGCAACAAUAGUUUAGGAAGCAGGUCUGCUCCUUGUGCCAUUAACCUUGGAGGUGGCUGGGUUCACAGCUUUGGACUCAGUCUCAUUAAUUCUCCAUGGAGAAGGCAGUAUCAACAAUAUACAAAUGGGCAUGUCUGCAUUUGUGAGGAGAGAGGGAAGGAGAAAAAGAAGGAAAAAACCUUCUUUUCUGUUAUUUCUGUAAAUAAAAGCUAAAAAUAAGACUUUAAUGCUCUUUAAUCUUGAAAUGCACAAAAAGCUGAGAGGUUCCCCACCCACUUCUACAGACCAAGUUGUAGUUAAAAGCUUUAAAAGAUACUGAGAAUUGUUAUUUAGCAUGGCAUAAAAUUCUUAGUGAGGAGGCAGAAACCUUAUAUGAACAUACACUCCAGCAAAUUGUUGCUCUGGGGUCAAAUUCCUGUGUGAGGAAUUUGUGAGGAGGCAGGACUUGAGAUCAGGCAUAUCUUGGGUCUAAGCCAACCUGUCUUCAGGAUCCUAAAUCUGAACUGGAAUCUGCAAUGCCCAGUGUGCCUAUGAAAUCACAGGAUAAACAAGAAUGUGGAAAAGGGAUUGUAUUCAAGCAGAGUUAAAAAUGGAAUAAAUAAAUCUGCAAAGCUUCUAUUACAUGUGGACAACAUAUAGGGGAAGAGUGCUUGAUUCAGAAGUUAAUUACUGUGGUUUCAUGGAAUUGUGUCUGCUUCUGCUCAUCUGAAGACAUCACUGAUCAUAAAAUUCUAGUGCAGGACAGAGGCAACUCUAAAUUUCUCCUAAUGUUAACUUUGAUUCACAGCUUUAACCAGGGCUCAACAUGAAAUUCAUUUCCUGUAAAGAAAUGCCCAUAUUUCAUGCAGCAUAGGUAUCUGAGAAAACAGGACCAACAUUUCUCUGGACUGCCCAGCCAAGAGUGGAGUGAGACCCUUCCUGAGGAUACCUCUGUGAGACAGACCAGCAUGGGCUGAGGCAGCAGGAGUUUAGGCCACACUGCUGGAGACUUUGUCUGUUCCUUCGUAGUGGCAUUCCCCUCCUAUCAAAACGAAUCUCUGUUAGUCAUUCCCAGAAUUUAGUAAGACCUUUGACAAUCUGAUAUGACAUACAAUGCAGCCCCACUUUGAGAAGGGGUGGUGGUGGUAGUGUGUGGACUAGAGAGACCUUCCAAAGUUUCUUCUUACCUAAAUGAUUCUGUGACUUUAUUCAUGCUUCACACCUAAAGGCUGAACAGGUCCUCAGUGCACCAAAACCUCUAAGUGACAGGAUCAGCCUAUAACCAUUUUGCUCUGCAAUUCCUCCAGUGGAGUCUCUUCCUCACACCUCUGGCUGUGUUUAAGGUCAGCUCUGUUUGGUGCACACUCUGUUUGGGUGGCAUUAGCCCAGCCUACUGUGAAAACAGCCAGCUCGUGGGGGAGAACAGCAAGGAGCCUCAUCUGGGUCCUCCCAAUGUUGGCUCAGGCUCUUCUUGCAUUUGUUCCAUGCCUGAGCUGUGUGGUAGGGAUGCCAUGCCCUAGCCUUUGCCUUGUGGGUCAGCCUUGGUCCUGACUUGACUUCCCAGCUUGGUCUUGGGCUUGCCUUAUCACUACAAACUAGACUGUGCAUGACCCUGGUUCCUGUCACUGCACCUGCUCUGCUCUCCUGCCCAGACACAGUAGGACUGCAUCCCUUGUCUGUGAGGCCACUGCCCACCUUACUGUCCCCUUGGCUCUCAGCUCAUGUUUUCUUGCAGAGCAGCUCAAUCCUGCUGCUCCCCCCAAAACUGCAUUGUGGGCUUUAAUUCUAAGAACCUCAUGUGCAUGCUAUAAUUUGGAAGCAAAGCUUCUGGGUUUUUGUGGGCUUUCACUGGUAAUGAGGGCUCGUACCAAUGGUAAGCUGGCACCAAUUUGAUGAGUGUAGCAGAGGUGGAAGCACCUUUCUGCAAAUGCUUGUGUUCUUUUGGCAGCAUGGAGCGGACUGAUGCUGGAAAGGCGCUGUCAGAACCUAGGGAGAAGCCCAUAAGCCUUAUGAAAUGAAAAGACCAUUCUGAAUGACUCCCCUUUAUUGCUCUUUCAUUCUCUCUCCCGAAGGACAGGUGAGGACCCCAGACUCAGAAUGUGAUACCUGUUAUCCGUCCCAGGCGGCCGCCGUGGAAGUGCCCCACCAGGCCCCCGACGUGGGCUCCCAGGCUCACCCCGAUGAUGUGGAUAGAUGUCCCUGAGACUCCCAGGGCCUGCAGGGUGACAAUAAUACAAAUUACUCUUUCUGGAGCAGAAAGGUGAAAUACCCUGUGCCAGCCCACACAGCAACUCUAUAACUCUCCUAAUGUAGGAUUGCUUUUGAGGUGUACAGUGGGAAACCAAAUACUCAAGGAAAUGAUGGGUUGCACUUUCUGUUUUUCAGGGCCUUUCUUCAGGUCCACAGAUGCAAACCCAGCUCUAAACAGAUUGGUCAGCACAGCAAACACUUAAUGGAGAGUUUACAUGUAGCUGGUUAACACAAGGAUUCAUCCCCCUGAUUGCAGAAGUCUUGUUCAGCUGUGCUUGGCAUGAAGAGAAUGGGGCACAUCUAGGUACUUCCACAUACUGGGAAGUCUAUCUGAAGCCCAGAGCAAAUAUAUUAUAGCCUCAAAUUAUAGUCUCACUCCAUCUAGCUUCCUGGACAAAAUUUCU
Molecule: long non-coding RNA, 9198 nt
Organism: Melospiza melodia melodia
Lineage: Eukaryota; Metazoa; Chordata; Aves; Passeriformes; Passerellidae
Exons: 3
Source: RefSeq, a predicted model, not a curated record